AGGACGAACGCUGGCGGCGUGCUCAACACAUGCAAGUCAAGGGGGCCCAGUAGCAAUACUGGGCAACCGGCGAACGGGUGCGUAACACGUGAGCAACCUACCGAAAUGUGGGGGAUAGCCGGCCUAACGGCCGAGUAAUACCGCAUACGCUCUCGAUGAGGCAUUUCAUUGAGAGGAAACCUACGGGACAUUUCGAGGGGCUCGCGGCCUAUCAGCUAGUUGGAGAGGUAACGGCUCACCAAGGCAACGACGGGUAGC
This 258-nucleotide ribosomal RNA is filed under the name uncultured soil bacterium. RNAcentral's name for it is "partial 16S ribosomal RNA". It matches the Rfam family "Bacterial small subunit ribosomal RNA", at positions 26 to 287 of the family's 1533-position model. The record is from RNAcentral.